GCUCAGUUGGUGGAGCACAAGGCUCUUAACCUUAUGGACAUGGGUUCGAGCCCCAU
This 56-nucleotide transfer RNA is filed under the name Triticum aestivum (bread wheat). It matches the Rfam family "tRNA", at positions 10 to 63 of the family's 71-position model. Rfam says of the family: Transfer RNA (tRNA) molecules are approximately 80 nucleotides in length. RNAcentral also lists the same sequence under 1 other name. The record is from Rfam by way of RNAcentral. Lineage: Eukaryota; Viridiplantae; Streptophyta; Magnoliopsida; Poales; Poaceae.